UACGGAGGGUGCAAGCAUUAAUCGGAUUUAUUGGGCGUAAAGGGCGCGUAGGCGGAUGUGCAAGUUAAGUGUGAAAUUCCGAAGCUCAACUUCGGAGCUGCACUUAAGACUGCGGAUCUUGAGGAUUGGCGGAGAAAAUGGAAUUCCACGUGUAGCGGUGAAAUGCGUAGAUAUGUGGAAGAACACCGGUGGCGAAAGCGAUUUUCUAGCUUAUUCCUGACGCUGAGGCGCGAGAGCAAGGGGAGCAAACAGG
RNAcentral lists this ribosomal RNA (253 nucleotides) under uncultured bacterium. Its description in RNAcentral is "partial 16S ribosomal RNA". It matches the Rfam family "Bacterial small subunit ribosomal RNA", at positions 524 to 776 of the family's 1533-position model. The record is from RNAcentral.